AGAGUUUGAUCAUGGCUCAGGAUGAACGCUAGCGGCAGGCUUAAUACAUGCAAGUCGUGGGGCAGCGCAGGUAGCAAUACUGGGCGGCGACCGGCAAACGGGUGCGGAACACGUACGCAACCUUCCUUUAAGUGGGGAAUAGCCCAGGGAAACUUGGAUUAAUACCCCGUAACACUGCGGUGUGGCAUCACACUGCAGUUAAAGCUACGGCGCUUAAAGAUGGGCGUGCGGCUGAUUAGGUAGUUGGCGGAGUAACAGCCCACCAAGCCAACGAUCAGUAACUGGUGUGAGAGCACGACCAGUCACACGGGCACUGAGACACGGGCCCGACUCCUACGGGAGGCAGCAGUAAGGAAUAUUGGUCAAUGGACGCAAGUCUGAACCAGCCAUGCCGCGUGGAGGAUGAAGGCCCUCUGGGUUGUAAACUUCUUUUAUUUGGGAAGAAACCCAUCCUUUCUAGGGUGGUUGACGGUACCAGAUGAAUAAGCACCGGCUAACUCCGUGCCAGCAGCCGCGGUAAUACGGAGGGUGCAAGCGUUAUCCGGAUUCACUGGGUUUAAAGGGUGCGUAGGUGGGCAGGUAAGUCAGUGGUGAAAUCUCUGGGCUCAACCCAGAAACUGCCGUUGAUACUAUCUGUCUUGAAUGUAGUGGAGGUGAGCGGAAUAUGUCAUGUAGCGGUGAAAUGCUUAGAUAUGACAUAGAACACCAAUUGCGAAGGCAGCUCGCUACACUAUUAUUGACACUGAGGCACGAAAGCGUGGGGAUCAAACAGGAUUAGAUACCCUAGUAGUCC
Molecule: ribosomal RNA, 793 nt
Filed under: uncultured bacterium
Lineage: Bacteria
Description: bacterial SSU rRNA
Rfam family: Bacterial small subunit ribosomal RNA
Source: RNAcentral